Non-coding RNA from Labrus bergylta (ballan wrasse), 782 nucleotides. The record is from RefSeq and is a predicted model, not a curated record. NCBI's taxonomy places the organism in Eukaryota, Metazoa, Chordata, Actinopteri, Labriformes, Labridae.
CCUGCCUAUAAAGGAAGCAGGAAGGGGAGGGUUCCUUCUUUAAUCUUCAAGGCUGCACAGAGCAGGCAGCAACAGAAAUUUUUCACUCCUUAUUCAAUGUGGUGAAUAAGUCAAAAGAGUAACUAACAUCCUGACUCACUCCAUACGUGCACCAUACAUGUGGAGGACUGCACACACACCUGUGGAGGAUGUAGAGGACCAUCUCUUUGCUUCCUGCACUGGCAGCGUGAUGACGUCAACUGCAGCCGGACGAGUCGAGUGAGGUGAGGGGCAGCCUGACCAAAACAAGAUGAAGAGCUGUUAGCAUGUCUGCUACACCAUGCUGCCUCACUUCCUUCAACAUUUGGUGUUUCCUCGCUCUGAAGAGAAGGAUCUGUGCUGCAGCUGGAAGGAGUUUCUUUAGAUUAAAGUUUACUUGUAGACUGUUUUAGUUUUCUUUCAGCUAUAGAUUUAGUUUAAAGUCUGUUUUCUUUAAUCUUUAUGUGCAGUUUUUUCUCAACACAAUUUUAAAGUCUUAAUUUGUGUCUUGUUUGUGUUGUAGUUGUUUCCUUCUUUGUCACACAGCUGUUAGAUUUAUUUUCAUUUGAAGUUUAGAUAUUUUUAUAACAAAUUUCCAUUAGGAAAAUGCUUAUUGGUGGUAGAUAAUUAGAAAGUUUCCUCAGGAACAAUGAAAGCUGUAAACUACUAUAAACCACAGCUGGCAGAUAACAGCCUAAUCAACAAUGUAACACAAGCACAGAAAGGACAGCAGUUUUAUUACAAUAAAAUCUAACAGACAUGAC